UUCCGCGACCGCAAAUCCCAGCAGGCAGUGCGCCCUUCAGCGCCGGCCCCAGGGCCGGGAAGGGUCCAGGAGGCUGGGAUUUAUCCGGUCAGAGCUCGCGGGUCUGGAGCUGCUGGCUCGGUGUCCUCACUCGCUGUUCCUUGACUUCUCUUCUCUCGCCGUACAGUGGCGGCACCGAGGAGUCGGUGCUGGGGGGAUAAUCUCCAUUAGUCACCCUCCAUGCUCGGGGUAAUGUAAGUCAAAUCGGGGUGCAGGAGCAAAACAAGCCCCUUAGCCUCGGCUUUCGACUCGUCGGCCGCGCCUCAGCACUUCCUGCAUCAUUUCACUCCUCCCUAACCCUCGUCCGCUGCAGGAGCCGUGUUAGUCACCACGAACGCUAGAGGUGGGCGCCUCCGGCCCAGGGUGGGGCCCCCCUCCGAUUCCCAAGCGCGGUGGUUCUCAAGCUCCAGCGUGCAUCUCCCGGAGGACUUCAUAAAACACAGAUUGACAGACCCCGGAGUUUCCUUUUCAGGAGGUCUGGGCUCUGACCCCAGAAUUUGCAAAUCUAACAAGCUGCCAGGAGAUGCAGAUGCCGCUCAUCUAGGACCAUGCUUCAGAACCACUGCCCAGCUUCCCCAGGGGCCUGGCAUCCAGUAGGGCCAGGUAAUACCAGAAAACCAGCCUGUCAACCUGAACACAGAACUUUGAACAGGAUGGGCGUCAGUUAUACGUGGAAGAUGAGCUCAGCAAUUUAAGAGAUAAAUUUGGCUCCAAUCAGAACUGAGGACAUGUGAUGGUUGACCUGGCAGUGUCACGGCUCCCAAACGGAAACAAGCAUUGUUCCCUGUACUAGACGUAUGUUUCAACUCUUGAUCCUUAAGACUCUGAUGGUGUUUUUUAAACAUACAGCCAUCCUGGCUAAAAAUGUCCAAACCAGACUGUUUUUAUACAUAUUGUUUCAUUUAAUAAAGGUAAAUAAAGUAGAUGUUAUUAUUAUCUUAAUUUUAUGUAGAAGGAAGUUGAGGCUAAGGGGAUUAAGACUCUUGUUCAGGCUCACACAACUUGUGGUAAGUGCUGAGACUUGGAUCCAGGGCUUCUGAUUCCAAAUCUUGUAAUGGUUCCUACUCAAAAGCUCUCAAAUCCUCUGAGAGACAGAAAUUGGAUAAAUAUACCCAAAUGCCUCACAGAACUUAUUAUCAUGAGUGCUUAAUUGUUAUAUUAGCAAUUCGUGAUAUAAAUGAAAUGCUGGAAACAUAAGGUAGGAAGGAUUUAAUUCUUUUAUUUAUCAUUGAAAAUAGUGGAAUUCUGUUAAAGCAAAACACAUUAUUAUGAAUAUUUGCAUAGGCUAAAAGUAAAAUCAUGUCGCCAGAAACCUACAUACCUACAGUGGGAACGUGAAUGAUAGCUCAUUAAAAGUAACAAUGAUAAUCAAGGGUUACACUAUCUCUAAAGAGAAGAGAAUAGUAAUUGGCUCAAGAUGGCAAACUCAGCAUCUUUACCAUGAAAAAGCCCCUAAAAAUGUCAGAAAAGAUAUAUUUUGGGGAAGAAUAAAUCCAGCACUGGACAAUAAGGAUGUACCAUCAAUGGAUCAGACAUUUCCUCUUGUGAAGGAAAAAAAUAGAUGGAAAUCAACUGACAGAGGAAACUGCGUGCUUAAACACUGGCACCACUGGGUUCUUGAAGAUCAUGGGAUAGCUUUAAGAUUCUGAGAUUUUGAAUCUGAAAUUCUAUAGUUAGGCAAAAUAAUAUGCAAGAAGGAAGGCAAAAUAAAGGCAUUUUCAAAACAGUCAAGAACUCAGAAAAUGUACUCUCACAGAUGAUAUUGAUGACACACUCCAGAAAAAUCACAAACCUAAAGAAGAGAAAGACAUGAGAUAUAAGAAAUAUAGGUAUAUAAAGAAAUCAGUAAAAAUUGUAGUUAUAUCUGAAUCAUAUUGGUAUGUAAUAAGAGUGAAAUGUUUUAUGGGUAAUUUCUAGAAGAAUAGAAAUUUCAUGCAUUUUUCAAUCCGACAAAAGGCAGGAAAAGGGAUAAUAGAGCAACAAGAAAUCAUAUAGUAAAUUAAAAACAUUAAAUCAUAAUAAAGAAGUAAAAUGUACAUAAUUAUCAGUAAUCACAAAAAGUGUGAAUGUUAUGUUUUUCUAUUAAAAGGCAACCUCUUUGAUUUCCAUUAAAAGUGGUUGAAAAACUU
Equus caballus (horse) is the source of this 2168-nucleotide non-coding RNA. NCBI's taxonomy places the organism in Eukaryota, Metazoa, Chordata, Mammalia, Perissodactyla, Equidae. The record is from RefSeq and is a predicted model, not a curated record.